This 464-nucleotide ribosomal RNA is filed under the name Vreelandella stevensii. Its description in RNAcentral is "partial 16S ribosomal RNA". It matches the Rfam family "Bacterial small subunit ribosomal RNA", at positions 338 to 795 of the family's 1533-position model. Lineage: Bacteria; Pseudomonadati; Pseudomonadota; Gammaproteobacteria; Oceanospirillales; Halomonadaceae. The record is from RNAcentral.
CCUACGGGGGGCUGCAGUGGGGAAUAUUGGACAAUGGGGGCAACCCUGAUCCAGCCAUGCCGCGUGUGUGAAGAAGGCCCUCGGGUUGUAAAGCACUUUCAGUGAGGAAGAACGCCUGGUGGUUAAUACCCAUCAGGAAAGACAUCACUCACAGAAGAAGCACCGGCUAACUCCGUGCCAGCAGCCGCGGUAAUACGGAGGGUGCGAGCGUUAAUCGGAAUUACUGGGCGUAAAGCGCGCGUAGGUGGCUUGAUAAGCCGGUUGUGAAAGCCCCGGGCUCAACCUGGAACGGCAUCCGGAACUGUCAAGCUAGAGUGCAGGAGAGGAAGGUAGAAUUCCCGGUGUAGCGGUGAAAUGCGUAGAGAUCGGGAGGAAUACCAGUGGCGAAGGCGGCCUUCUGGACUGACACUGACACUGAGGUGCGAAAGCGUGGGUAGCAAACAGGAUUAGAUACCCGUGUAGUC